Molecule: small nuclear RNA, 163 nt
Filed under: Echinops telfairi (small Madagascar hedgehog)
Lineage: Eukaryota; Metazoa; Chordata; Mammalia; Afrosoricida; Tenrecidae
Description: U1 spliceosomal RNA (ENSETEG00000021947.1)
Rfam family: U1 spliceosomal RNA
About the family: U1 is a small nuclear RNA (snRNA) component of the spliceosome (involved in pre-mRNA splicing). Its 5' end forms complementary base pairs with the 5' splice junction, thus defining the 5' donor site of an intron.
Source: RNAcentral
AUACUUACCUGGCAGGGAAAUACCAUGAUCACGAAGGUGGUUUUCCCAGGGCCAGGCUUAUCCGUUACACUCUGGAUGUGCUGACCCCUGCGAUUUCCCCAAAUGUGGGAAACUCGACUGCAUAAUUUGUGGUAGUGGGGGACUGCGUUCACGCUCUCCCCUG